GGUGUGUAACCCAUGUUAGGAACACGAUACAGGUUCUCCUGUCAUUUUGUGUGACCUGAUUUCCCUUGUGGAAAUUUAAGACUUCAACAUCUAGGAAUGUUUUAAUGGUGUCUGCACCUGCAGUUCUGUGUUUAAAAUGUCACAAUGUGGAACCUGCCAUCCAGCUACUAACCUGUGCUCCUAACCAGAAGCUGGUCCUUGAUAAUUCAUCAUCUGAGGCUUCCGUGGCUCCCAAUAGGUUUGUGCUUUGUACAUUGAUCACAGCAUUCACUGUGGAAGUGUGAUUUUGCUUUUCAAGCUAUAAACCUGUAUUUCUUUAUUGUACGCUAAGGCCAUGUUUGUAUCAGGCAAAAAGAGACUGAAAUCAAGUUCUGCAGAUAUUAACACUGUGGUUUCAUCACAUAUACACCUUAAUCUUUAAAUUCUGUAGCUUAUGGCUACCUCUGCAACCAAGUACUGUUGCAGACAGAUUAAGGACAAAUGCAUAAUAAUAAUAAAUUUUACAUUUCUAUUGACCUUUAGCUUGAAAAUG
RNAcentral lists this long non-coding RNA (532 nucleotides) under Bos taurus (domestic cattle). RNAcentral describes it as "long non-coding RNA NONBTAT025685". Lineage: Eukaryota; Metazoa; Chordata; Mammalia; Artiodactyla; Bovidae. The record is from RNAcentral.